This 440-nucleotide ribosomal RNA is filed under the name uncultured bacterium. Its description in RNAcentral is "partial 16S ribosomal RNA". It matches the Rfam family "Bacterial small subunit ribosomal RNA", at positions 338 to 795 of the family's 1533-position model. The record is from RNAcentral.
CCUACGGGGGGCAGCAGUGGGGAAUAUUGCACAAUGGGGGAAACCCUGAUGCAGCGACGCCGCGUGAGUGAAGAAGGACUUCGGGAUGUAAAGCUCUAUCAGCAGGGAAGAAAAUGACGGUACCUGAUUAAGAAGCCACGGCUAACUACGUGCCAGCAGCCGCGGUAAUACGUAGGGGGCGAGCGUUAUCCGGAUUUACUGGGCGUAAAGGGAGCGUAGACGGCAGCACAAGUCCGUGGUGAAAUGCCGGGGCUGAACCCCAGAACUGCAUUGGAAACUGUAAAGCUAGAGUGCAGGAGAGGUGAGUGGAAUUCCUAGUGUAGCGGUGAAAUGCGUAGAGAUUAGGAGGAACACCAGUGGCGAAGGCGGUUCUCUGGACUGUAACUGACGUUGAGGCUCGAAAGCGUGGGGAGCAAACAGGAUUAGAUACCCCGGUAGUC